GUAGUGGUCUGCAAGAUGGCGAGCCGUGUCGCCGAGCACGUAAAAGCGGCAAGGCUAUAAACGCCAAUCGCGAACUGGCUUACGCUGCGUAAGUAGCUAAGUCACCCGGGGUUCGCCCCGGCGCCGGCCCGUUCUGAGUCAGCAGGAACGGUGUCCGGCGGAAAUUUAGCUGACUCGCUCCCGGCGGGCGUCGCGGCCGCCGGGGGGACUUUCCACCGCGACUGGCCGUAGCGGAUCCGGUCUCAAGGGAGCCGUUGCGGCGAGAUGAAAUCCGAGACUACGCUCGUAGAUGUCUUGCGGGACGCUGCUUCGGACGCGAGUUCGAUUCUCGCCGCCUCCACCA
Molecule: transfer-messenger RNA, 343 nt
Filed under: Candidatus Dormiibacterota bacterium
Lineage: Bacteria; Bacillati; Candidatus Dormiibacterota
Description: partial transfer-messenger RNA
Rfam family: transfer-messenger RNA
About the family: Bacterial tmRNA, also known as 10Sa RNA or SsrA, is named for its dual tRNA and mRNA-like properties. Its role is to liberate the mRNA from a stalled ribosome.
Source: RNAcentral